This 531-nucleotide ribosomal RNA is filed under the name Exophiala dermatitidis. RNAcentral describes it as "partial large subunit ribosomal RNA". It matches the Rfam family "Eukaryotic large subunit ribosomal RNA", at positions 112 to 655 of the family's 3401-position model. The record is from RNAcentral. Lineage: Eukaryota; Fungi; Ascomycota; Eurotiomycetes; Chaetothyriales; Herpotrichiellaceae.
AAUUUGAAAUCUGGCCUCUUUGGGGUCCGAGUUGUAAUUUGUAGAGGAUGUUUCGGGCACCGCUCCGGUUUAAAUUUCUUGGAACAGAAUGUCAAAGAGGGUGAGAACCCCGUCUUGGACCGGCAGUAGGGCCCAUGUGAAACUCCUUCGACGAGUCGAGUUGUUUGGGAAUGCAGCUCAAAAUGGGUGGUAAAUUUCAUCUAAAGCUAAAUAUUGGCCAGAGACCGAUAGCGCACAAGUAGAGUGAUCGAAAGAUGAAAAGCACUUUGAAAAGAGAGUUAAACAGUACGUGAAAUUGUUGAAAGGGAAGCGCUUGCAACCAGACUUGCGCGCGGCGGUUCCCCCUUCCUUUUGGUUGGGUUAUUCCGCCGUGUCCAGGCCAACAUCGGUUCUGGGGGUCGGUUAAAGGCCUGGGGAAUGUAUCUACCCUUCGGGCGUAGACUUAUAGCCCCGGGUGUCAUGCGACCUCCCGGGACCGAGGAACGCGCUUCGGCUCGGAUGUUGGCGUAAUGGUUGUCAGCGACCCGUCUU